Manacus vitellinus (golden-collared manakin) is the source of this 4500-nucleotide RNA transcript. It is a transcript of the gene named calpain 7, with no coding region annotated. The transcript is spliced from 21 exons. The record is from RefSeq and is a predicted model, not a curated record. Lineage: Eukaryota; Metazoa; Chordata; Aves; Passeriformes; Pipridae.
GUCUGCAGGAAGCUGCACAAGCCUUGAUUUAUGCUGGGAUGGCUGGGUCAAACUUGGAAAAUAUUCAAGAAAAAAUAAAUGAGUACUUGGAGAGAGUUCAAGCUCUCCAUUCAGCAGUUCAGUCACAGAAAACAGACCCUCUGAAGUCAAAACAACAGUUGGACUUGGAGCGUGCUCACUUCCUAGUUACACAGGCUUUUGAUGAAGAUGAUAAAGGCAAUGCAGAAGAAGCUAUAGAGUUGUACACAGAAGCCGUGGAACUCUGUUUGAAAACAGCUACUGAAACUUCAGAAGCAGGCCUCCAGUCCAAACUGAAACAGCUGGCUCGACAAGCGCUGGAUAGAGCAGAGGCACUGAAGGAAUCUAUGUCAAAGUCAUCUCAGAAAGAAAAGUCAACUGCAGCUAAACCAAAUCAGCCAGUGAGAACAUUCUUCCCAUUGGGACCUGAUUUUUCUUUAAAUGAUAAACCACAGACAAUCAGAGCAGUACAAGCUAGUGAACCUCAAGGUCAGAGAUACACUGCAGAGGAGAUUGAAGUGCUCAGGAAGACUUCAAAAAUUAAUGGCAUUGAAUAUGUACCUUUCAUGAGUGUCGAUCUGAGGGAACGUUUUGCUUUCCCUAUGCCUUUUUCUGAUAAAUGCGGGAAGUUACCAUUAUCCCCCAAACAGAAAGCGAUGUUUGCCAAAUGGGUGCGACCAGAUGACAUAACAAAUAACCCUACCAUGAUCUACACUGUAUCAAGUUUCAGCAUAAAGCAGACAAUAGUGUCAGAUUGCUCUUUUGUGGCAUCACUGGCUAUCAGUGCAGCAUAUGAAAGAAGAUAUAACAAAAAAUUGAUCACGAGUAUAAUUUACCCUCAGAAUAAGAAAGGGGAACCAGAGUAUAAUCCAUGUGGUAAAUACAUGGUGAAGCUUCAUAUCAAUGGUGUACCUAGAAAGGUAAUCAUAGAUGACCAGUUACCUGUUGAUCAUAGUGGGGAACUUCUCUGCUCUUAUUCUAAUAAUAAGAAUGAAUUAUGGGUGUCACUAAUAGAAAAGGCUUACAUGAAGGUCAUGGGAGGAUAUGAUUUUCCUGGAUCAAAUUCUAAUAUUGAUCUCCAUGCACUGACUGGUUGGAUACCUGAAAGAAUUGCUAUGCACUCUGACAAUCAAGCUUUCAAUAAAGACAGUACUUUCAGAAUGCUUUAUCAGAGAUUUCACAAGGGAGAUGUCCUUAUUACCACAGCAACAGGGGUGAUGUCUGAAGAGGAAGGAGAAAAAUGGGGUUUAGUUCCAACCCAUGCAUAUGCAGUCUUGGACAUAAGAGAAUAUAAGGGACUUAGAUUUCUUCAGUUGAAAAAUCCCUGGAGCCACUUACGUUGGAAGGGACGAUACAGUGAAAAUGACACAAGAAAUUGGACCCCAGAUUUACAAAAAUACUUGAACUUUGAUCCAAGAACAGCUCAGAAAAUAGACAAUGGCAUUUUCUGGAUUUCCUGGGAGGACCUGUGCCAGUACUAUGAUGUUAUUUAUUUGAGUUGGAACCCAAGUCUUUUCAAAGAAUCUACAUGUAUUCACAGUACCUGGGAUGCAAAGCAGGGCCCGGUGAAGGAUGCCUACAGCCUGGCCAACAAUCCUCAGUACAAGCUGGAAGUUCAGUGUCCACAGGGUGGUGCUGCCGUCUGGGUCCUGCUCAGCAGGCACAUCACUGACAAGGAUGACUUUGCACACAAUCGGGAGUUCAUUACAAUGGUUGUGUACAAGACUGAUGGCAAAAAAGUUUACUAUCCAGCUGAUCCUCCUCCGUAUAUCGAUGGUAUUCGGAUCAACAGUCCUCAUUAUCUGACUAAGAUAAAGUUGACCUCUCCAGGGCCCCAUACAUUUACCUUAGUGGUGUCCCAGUAUGAGAAACAAAACACUAUCCAUUACACCAUCAGGGUGUACUCCUUGUGCAAGUUCACCUUUUCCAAGAUUCCUACACCUUACACCAUUUCCAAGCGGGUUAAUGGACAGUGGAAAGGUCACAGUGCCGGAGGAUGUGGAAACUUCAGAGACACCUACAAAAAUAACCCCAUUUAUCAAAUCCAGCUAGACAAGAAUGGACCAUUGCUAAUUGAACUACGGGGACCGAGGCAAUACAGCGUUGGCUUUGAACUCGUCACCGUCUCAACAGUAGGAGAUCCUGGUUCCUAUGGCUUUCACAAAAAGAGCAGUGGUGACUACAGGUGUGGAUUUUGCUACUUGGAAGUGGAGAACAUACUUGCUGGAGUUUACAACAUUAUCCCCACCACAUUCCUGCCUCAACAAGAGGGUCCUUUUUUCUUAGAUUUUAACAGUACUACUCCUCUUAAGGUGUCCCAGCUGCAGUGAGGAGACAUAUCUGUGCAGUACUGUUUAAGGAGGUGGUUUUGACCUGUCCUACAGGCUGAGAACAGCUGCCAGACCGAGCUUGAUCCUGAUCAGCAGUAAGGACAGGGGGUUAUCCAGCAGCAGCAUGCGGAGAAUGCAGCAUAGACUUCCUUGAGCAGGUGUGAAAGAUUGUCAUCUGAAGAUCCCCACAGUCUCAGUUGCUGGUGGGGAGAUGGGAAACUGCCCACCAUCAGAAACUCAGCAAAGAAAUGUUUUAUUUUCAUCACUUUUAUAAGUAUUCAGCCUAUAGGGAAGGAUUAGUUAAGCCUCUCCUGCUAAUAAACCACAGCUGCAGGGAAUGCACUUGCUGAUUUAUACCAGACAUCUUUGAUAAGGUACUUUUUUCCUUGUAAGUUGAAACCAGUGGAUGAAUUGAGCACUUGGCCACUGUCAUCAACAGAAGCAGGGUUAGAGUUUUUAAGAAAAUAGUGGAAGUGGGAUUAAUGCAGAAUGAGAUUUUUCCAGAAGCCUCCUAUAUGUGCUCCUCCUCUAGAUCUGUAUACAUUGUAUCUAAAGAGGAUUCAAGAUAACCAAAUUUUCAAUUUAAUACCAACUGCCUCAGAUCCUGAAAUGCAUUAAAUUUUGUCUUUUUUACAAAAUGUAUAAUAUUUGACAGCUGGGAGAGAGGAUGUUUUUAAAACAGCCACGGGAAUUUUGCUGCCAUUCACAUUAGUUUGCCAGUUUUCCAAUCAAAACAGGUAGCAUUUAAAUCUUGCUUUAGAGCACAGGUGUCACUUGGCCAUUGGGAAACUGAGCACACAAUUCUACAGGAGCACCAGAAAUAUCUGUGGGCUGAAAUUACUCCCACAGAGGUCUGCUAUUAGUCCUCUCCAGAAAGUACAAGAUUCUUUUGUUUUGUUUCCUUCAUCAGACAGCUGCUUAACAAGUGUCUAGUGCUGAAAGGGCACUGAUAGCUCAUGCCUUUGAAAAUAUGUCCUGCUGACUGCAGUUCUCUCAAAGGCUAUCUGGGAUAGGAAAUUUGGGACAGGUUUGUCACAGUGUGACUUACCUUCUUUUGCAGGGAAGUUUCUGCAUGGGCACAAGCUGAGCAAAGAAACAGAUUAGGUUCAUUGUAGUUACCCCCCUGGCUUCUGGAGUAUAGGUCAAGGACAACUUCAUCCCUACAAAAUGAAAAUUUCAUUCAGCUCACAUUUUCCCUACAGAUUUCUGUGAAGUUUUUAGCUCACGCUAAACCAGAAUCGCAGUGGAGUCCUGCAUGUAUCUUAUCACCUGUGACGUUAGAGGUAGUUAGGAAGUCCCAACUGAGUAUCUUUUUGGCAGUACAAAAUGCAGAUGCCAGAACUGCCAGCUUUCAGUACCAAGUUCUUGCAAAUUCUCUGCUGUUUGAGAUCAAGGUGGUAGACUUGCCUACAGUAAAAUCUGUUGUUGUUCUUCAGUAGUUGGUUUCUACUCAGCAGAAAGGAGUUUUUCUUUCUUUUCCCCCUGAGCACAAGCUACUGCCAAGCUUAUGCUGUAUGAAACGAGCAUAAGGCUCAGCUUUCCAUACUGUGCUGAACUAAAACUAAACUGAACUAAAAGCAAGAAAUGUACUCACUGUCUGGCAUUAAGGACAAAGUAUCCUGUCCCAAAUAGGAUGUGCUGAUAUUUCUUACAUAUACAGAACAGUCAGGGGAUUUGGCUUAUCUUAAAUCCCAUACAUAAAUGGAGACAAGUGUCAAUCUUAUUAAUAUAAAACAAAUCCUGAUCAAAUAUUGCACCUGCAUAGGCUACUAGAAUGCCAUCACUGUGCAUUUCCUUUAAAUAUAGGACAGAACACUCAGGUGGACUAUUUAAGAGGAAUAUUCUUAUAAAUUCUAGUCUACAGAUUCUGGUUGUGGCAAAUUGAUUUUGCAACAAAGUUUUCUUGCCAUUUUGUCUUAGGAAAAAAUGUUAGCGUUUAUGAUUUGCUUUAAUAUUUUCUGUCAAAUAUAUACUUUAAUAUUUUUUCCACAAAUAAAUCUGGAAAACUUAUUGGAAAGUGAAGAUUUUAAGACAACCUCAGGCCACAGUCUAAGUUAAGCUUUUGUUUCCCCUAUACUGUUUAGCAUUUUUUGAUCCGUGACAGAGAACAUGAGGUGGUGGGUUAUGCAGCAAGACUUCUAGAAAGGAAUAA